GGCCCCGUAGCUCAGUUGGAUAGAGCAGCGGUUUCCUAAACCGCGUGUCGUCGGUUCAAUUCCGGCCGGGGCCACCA
RNAcentral lists this transfer RNA (77 nucleotides) under Nitrospirota bacterium. Its description in RNAcentral is "Nitrospirae bacterium tRNA-Arg". It matches the Rfam family "tRNA". Rfam says of the family: Transfer RNA (tRNA) molecules are approximately 80 nucleotides in length. Their secondary structure includes four short double-helical elements and three loops (D, anti-codon, and T loops). Further hydrogen bonds mediate the characteristic L-shaped molecular structure. tRNAs have two regions of fundamental functional importance: the anti-codon, which is responsible for specific mRNA codon recognition, and the 3' end, to which the tRNAs corresponding amino acid is attached (by aminoacyl-tRNA synthetases). tRNAs cope with the degeneracy of the genetic code in two manners: having more than one tRNA (with a specific anti-codon) for a particular amino acid; and 'wobble' base-pairing, i.e. permitting non-standard base-pairing at the 3rd anti-codon position. RNAcentral also lists the same sequence under 1 other name. Lineage: Bacteria; Pseudomonadati; Nitrospirota. The record is from RNAcentral.